UACGUGNCAGCAGCCGCGGUAAUACGUAGGUCCCGAGCGUUNUCCGGAUUUAUUGGGCGUAAAGCGAGCGCAGGCGGUUAGAUAAGUNUGAAGUUAAAGGCUGUGGCUUAACCAUAGUAUGCUUUGGAAACUGUUUAACUUGAGUGCAGAAGGGGAGAGUGGAAUUCCAUGUGUAGCGGUGAAAUGCCUAGAUAUAUGGAGGAACACCGGUGGCGAAAGCGGCUCUCUGGUCUGUAACUGACGCUGAGGCUCGAAAGCGUGGGGAGCGAACAGGAUUAGAUACCCUGGUAGUNCACGCCGUAAACGAUGAGUGCUAGGUGUUAGGCCCUUUCCGGGGCUUAGUGCCGCAGCUAACGCAUUAAGCACUCCGCCUGGGGAGUACGACCGCAAGGUUGAAACUCAAAGGAAUUGACGGGGGCCCGCACAAGCGGUGGAGCAUGUGGUUUAAUUCGAAGUAACGCGAAGAACCUUACCAGGUCUUGACAUCCCUCUGACCGCUCUAGAGAUAGAGUUUUCCUUCGGGACAGAGGUGACAGGUGGUGUAUGGUUGUCGUCAGCUCGUGUCGUGAGAUGUUGGGUUAAGUCCCGCAACGAGCGCAACCCCUAUUGUUAGUUGCCAUCAUUCAGUUGGGCACUCUAGCGAGACUGCCGGUAAUAAACCGGAGGAAGGUGGGGAUGACGUCAAAUCAUCAUGCCCCUUAUGACCUGGGCUACACACGUGCUACAAUGGCUGGUACAACGAGUCGCAAGCCGGUGACGGCAAGCUAAUCUCUUAAAGCCAGUCUCAGUUCGGAUUGUAGGCUGCAACUCGCCUACAUGAAGUCGGAAUCGCUAGUAAUCGCGGAUCAGCACGCCGCGGUGAAUACGUUCCCGGGCCUUGUACACACCGCCCGUCACACCACGAGAGUUUGUAACACCCGAAGUCGGUGAGGUAACCUUUUAGGAGCCAGC
RNAcentral lists this ribosomal RNA (951 nucleotides) under uncultured bacterium. RNAcentral's name for it is "bacterial SSU rRNA". It matches the Rfam family "Bacterial small subunit ribosomal RNA", at positions 502 to 1453 of the family's 1533-position model. The record is from RNAcentral.